GGAGCCGGCCAGACAGUCGCGUCACCCGCAAGGGUGCCGAGGAAAGUCCGGGCUCCACAGGGCACGGUGCCAGGUAACGCCUGGGCGGCGCGAGCCGACGGAAAGUGCAACAGAAAGAUACCGCCAACGGUUCUUCGGGGCACUUGCCGGACGAACGUCCGGCAAAGUGUUCCAACUCGCCGAAAGGCGAGGUGGAAUGCGGGCAAGGGUGAAAUGGUGCGGUAAGAGCGCACCGCGAGUCUGGCAACAGACCGGCACGGCAAACCCCACCGGGAGCAAGACCAAAUAGGGAGACGUCGAUGCGGCCCGCAGAGUCUCCGGGUAGGUUGCUUGAGCGUAUCGGUGACGAUGCGCCUAGAGGAAUGACUGUCGCGGCGCGCAAGCGUCGAACAGAACCCGGCUUACCGGCCGGCUCCGCCA
RNAcentral lists this RNase P RNA (420 nucleotides) under Thermomonas brevis. RNAcentral describes it as "RNase P RNA component class A". It matches the Rfam family "Bacterial RNase P class A". From Rfam's summary of the family: Ribonuclease P (RNase P) is a ubiquitous endoribonuclease, found in archaea, bacteria and eukarya as well as chloroplasts and mitochondria. Lineage: Bacteria; Pseudomonadati; Pseudomonadota; Gammaproteobacteria; Lysobacterales; Lysobacteraceae. The record is from RNAcentral.